RNAcentral lists this ribosomal RNA (346 nucleotides) under uncultured bacterium. Its description in RNAcentral is "bacterial SSU rRNA". It matches the Rfam family "Bacterial small subunit ribosomal RNA", at positions 917 to 1264 of the family's 1533-position model. The record is from RNAcentral.
GGGCCCGCACAAGCGGUGGAGUAUGUGGUUUAAUUCGAUGCAACGCGAAGAACCUUACCAGGGUUUGACAUCCUGCGAACCUCUUAGAAAUUUUGAGGGUGCCUUCGGGAAUGCAGUGACAGGUGGUGCAUGGCUGUCGUCAGCUCGUGUCGUGAGAUGUUGGUUAAGUCCCGCAACGAGCGCAACCCACGUCUUUAGUUGCCAGCAUUUAGUUGGGCACUCUAGAGAGACUGCCGGUGAUAAACCGGAGGAAGGUGUGGAUGACGUCAAGUCAUCAUGCCCCUUACAUCCUGGGCUACACACGUACUACAAUGGUAUCUACAACAGGAAGCAAGACUGCGAGGUC